This 556-nucleotide ribosomal RNA is filed under the name Saccharomyces cerevisiae (brewer's yeast). RNAcentral's name for it is "eukaryotic LSU rRNA". It matches the Rfam family "Eukaryotic large subunit ribosomal RNA", at positions 87 to 658 of the family's 3401-position model. Lineage: Eukaryota; Fungi; Ascomycota; Saccharomycetes; Saccharomycetales; Saccharomycetaceae. The record is from RNAcentral.
CGGCGAGUGAGCGGCAAAAGCUCAAAUUUGAAAUCUGGUACCUUCGGUGCCCGAGUUGUAAUUUGGAGAGGGCAACUUUGGGGCCGUUCCUUGUCUAUGUUCCUUGGAACAGGACGUCAUAGAGGGUGAGAAUCCCGUGUGGCGAGGAGUGCGGUUCUUUGUAAAGUGCCUUCGAAGAGUCGAGUUGUUUGGGAAUGCAGCUCUAAGUGGGUGGUAAAUUCCAUCUAAAGCUAAAUAUUGGCGAGAGACCGAUAGCGAACAAGUACAGUGAUGGAAAGAUGAAAAGAACUUUGAAAAGAGAGUGAAAAAGUACGUGAAAUUGUUGAAAGGGAAGGGCAUUUGAUCAGACAUGGUGUUUUGUGCCCUCUGCUCCUUGUGGGUAGGGGAAUCUCGCAUUUCACUGGGCCAGCAUCAGUUUUGGUGGCAGGAUAAAUCCAUAGGAAUGUAGCUUGCCUCGGUAAGUAUUAUAGCCUGUGGGAAUACUGCCAGCUGGGACUGAGGACUGCGACGUAAGUCAAGGAUGCUGGCAUAAUGGUUAUAUGCCGCCCGUCUUGAA